RNAcentral lists this ribosomal RNA (497 nucleotides) under uncultured bacterium. RNAcentral describes it as "partial 16S ribosomal RNA". It matches the Rfam family "Bacterial small subunit ribosomal RNA", at positions 28 to 507 of the family's 1533-position model. The record is from RNAcentral.
GAUGAACGCUGGCGGCGUGCCUAAUACAUGCAAGUCGAGCGAACAGACGAGGAGCUUGCCCCUCUGACGUUAGCGGCGGACGGGUGAGUAACACGUGGAUAACCUACCUAUAAGACUGGGAUAACUUCGGGAAACCGGAUCUAAUACCGGAUAAUAUAUUGAACCGCAUGGUUCAAUAGUGAAAGACGGUUUUGCUGUCACUUAUAGAUGGAUCCGCGCCGCAUUAGCUAGUUGGUAAGGUAACGGCUUACCAAGGCAACGAUGCGUAGCCGACGUGAGAGGGUGAUAGGCGACACUGGAACUGAGACAGGGUCCAGACGACUAAGGGAGGCAGCAGUAGGGAAUGUUACGCAGUGGGCGGAAGCAUGACGGAGCAACGCCGAGUGAGUGAUGAAGGUCUUCGGAUCGUAAAACUGUGUUAUGAGGGAAGAACAAAUGUGUAAGUAACUAUGCACGUCUUGACGGUACCUGAUCAGAAAGCCACGGCUAACUACGUG